Molecule: ribosomal RNA, 224 nt
Filed under: uncultured bacterium
Lineage: Bacteria
Description: partial 16S ribosomal RNA
Rfam family: Bacterial small subunit ribosomal RNA
Source: RNAcentral
CGGGGGAUAACUAUUGGAAACGAUAGCUAAUACCGCAUAAAAAGUCGAUAUCGCAUGAUGUUGACUUGAAAGGUGCAAUUGCAUCACUAAGAGAUGGACCUGCGUUGUAUUAGCUAGUUGGUGAGGUAACGGCUCACCAAGGCGACGAUACAUAGCCGACCUGAGAGGGUGAUCGGCCACACUGGGACUGAGACACGGCCCAGACUCCUACGGGAGGCAGCAUG